GGUAGUCUCGCACAGAUGCAUAUCAAUAAGCGGAGGAAAAGAAACUAACAAGGAUUCCCUUAGUAACGGCGAGUGAAGCGGGAAGAGCUCAAAUUUGAAAUCUUCAAGGUUUUACCUUGACGAAUUGUAGUUUAAAGAAGUGUUUUCUGUUGAAGUUUUGGUAAAAGUUCUUUGGGAUAGGACAUCAUAGAGGGUGAGAAUCCCGUAUUUGACCAUUAUUUCCAGCUGUGUGAUACACUUUCAAAGAGUCGGAUUGUUUGGGAAUGCAGUCCAAAAUGGGUGGUAAAUUUCAUCUAAAGCUAAAUAUUGGCGAGAGACCGAUAGCGAACAAGUACCGUGAGGGAAAGAUGAAAAGAACUUUGAAAAGAGAGUUAAACAGUACGUGAAAUUGUCAAAAGGGAAGCGUUUGACACCAGUGUUGUUUUCUCGAAAAUCAAUUAAAAAGAGUUAGAUUUUGUUGUGUAUUGACCUUAACAGCUUGCAUUUCAAUUUUCUUGCUUUUUUUAAUGCACUUUUCGUUUAACAAGUCAACAUCAGUUUCUUUUGUUGUAAAAAGGUCAUUGGAAGGUGGCCUUCUUUUCGGAGAAAGUGUUUAUAGCCUUUGACUCCUGCAAUCGGAGAGACUGAGGUCUGCAGCGUAGAUCCUUCGGGGUUAGAUAGCAUUUGUGCUAAGUUAUAGCUUUUUAUAGACAACUUGUUGACUAUGAUUAGUCUUGUAGCUUACUCGCUUAUGCUAUUUUACCUACGCUUAGGAUGUUGAGCGCAUGUCUCUCUCU
RNAcentral lists this ribosomal RNA (776 nucleotides) under uncultured Neocallimastigales. Its description in RNAcentral is "partial large subunit ribosomal RNA". It matches the Rfam family "Eukaryotic large subunit ribosomal RNA", at positions 24 to 616 of the family's 3401-position model. The record is from RNAcentral. Lineage: Eukaryota; Fungi; Neocallimastigomycota; Neocallimastigomycetes; Neocallimastigales.